Molecule: long non-coding RNA, 265 nt
Organism: Bubalus bubalis (water buffalo)
Lineage: Eukaryota; Metazoa; Chordata; Mammalia; Artiodactyla; Bovidae
Exons: 2
Source: RefSeq, a predicted model, not a curated record
GUCUCAGCAGUUCUCUGCUCUUCCCUCCUUCAACUCUGAAGAACGAGCUCGUGGGACUCUGAUCACGUGCCACAGCCCGUGUACAAAGGGGAACCCGCUAAGUGACUUGUUCAAGGUCACACCAGUUCCUGGAGAACCAGGAAUCACGAGUCUCCAUCCUCCCACUCCCGACAGUCUGGGCAGGGCUGUCAGCAACAACGGAUUUACGGAUGGCUGCGUGGGGAAGAUUCAGAUUUGACUGAGAUAAACAGAGCUGUGGAAACCA